This 500-nucleotide ribosomal RNA is filed under the name uncultured bacterium. RNAcentral's name for it is "bacterial SSU rRNA". It matches the Rfam family "Bacterial small subunit ribosomal RNA", at positions 8 to 507 of the family's 1533-position model. The record is from RNAcentral.
AGAGUUUGAUCAUGGCUCAGAUUGAACGCUGGCGGUAUGCUUAACACAUGCAAGUCGAACGGUAACAGGCCGUUCGGGCGCUGACGAGUGGCGGACGGGUGAGUAACGCGUAGGAAUCUGCCUCAUAGUGGGGGACAACGUGGGAAACUCACGCUAAUACCGCAUACGCCCUACGGGGAAAGCGGGGGAUCUUCGGACCUCGCGCUAUGAGAUGAGCCUGCGUUAGAUUAGCUAGUUGGUAGGGUAAAGGCCUACCAAGGCGACGAUCUAUAGCUGGUCUGAGAGGACGAUCAGCCACACUGGGACUGAGACACGGCCCAGACUCCUACGGGAGGCAGCAGUGGGGAAUACUGGACAAUGGGCGCAAGCCUGAUCCAGCAAUACCGCGUGUGUGAAGAAGGCCUUAGGGUUGUAAAGCACUUUCAAUUGGGAGGAAAACCUGCCGGUCAAUACCCGGUAGCUUGACAUUACCUUUAGAAGAAGCACCGGCUAACUCCGUG